Dendrobium catenatum is the source of this 1409-nucleotide long non-coding RNA. RefSeq lists it as uncharacterized. The transcript has 2 exons. The record is from RefSeq and is a predicted model, not a curated record. NCBI's taxonomy places the organism in Eukaryota, Viridiplantae, Streptophyta, Magnoliopsida, Asparagales, Orchidaceae.
UAAUUUGCGGUAAACUUUGCAACAUAAUUUUUUUUCUCUAAAACUGUGACUGAAUUUUGUGACGGAUUUUCUAGAUGUAAAUCUUAAGUUGGAAUUGAAGGAAUAGAAAUUUUUUCCUAAAUCUUUUUUUUUUUCAUUUGCUCUUCUUCUCUCUGCUAUCAGCCACCCUUCUAGGGUUUUUUUUGUUCUACAACAGCUUAAUUAGCAGCUGGACCACAUCCCUCAACCUUUAUCACCUCUGCGGCUCUGCCCAUCCCUUGUUGUGGCCAAGGUCCACCAGCAACCACCAACCAUCCACCACUCGCUGCUGUCCUCUGCAAAACUGAAAUCAAUAAAGAAAAGGAUUGUAUAGAAACCUAAUUCAUUUUCUUAUAAAAAUCCCCAUGGAUUCCAAAUUGAUCCGCACACCUAAUUCUGGAAUCAUAUUAGUUAUAACGUUUGGUUUUUCAGAUCCCAAAUGAUUUAGAAUUUUUAUUCAUAGAUCGCAUAUGGCAGAGAGGUUGGUCAGUUGUUUGUGUAUUACACAUGUGAUGAAAAUUUAGAGGAGUUUCUAUCAAUUUUUAUGUGAACCACUUGAUAUUGCUUUGUCAUUAUACCGAAAAAAGGGAAACAAAUAGAAUUGCAAACAUUUAGCAUGUUAGAGCAGUUUUGGACUGUUCAAAAAUUUCUAGUUUCAUUUGGAAGGUGCGUGGUAAUGUCUAUUAUUAAUUAAUAUAUAUUUUCAAGAGAUGGACGUUCACCCGCAUGCUUGAAGCACUGAUCGAGGAUUAUGGUAGUGAACUAUUUCCUUUGUGAUUAGAAUAUGUCAGGGUGAGCAGGCUUAGUUAGGCUUUUAGUAACUCUGGAAUUUAAGACGUCCCUAGCUGAAUGCAACCUUGCUUAGGCUCAAGUUGUUUUGUUUAUGGAACCAAAAGGAAUGCAAUAUUGUUUGUAGCGCUAAGAACUAGUUGUAAAGCUUCACUGGAUUGUUCAUGUCAAUACUCAUAUGAAAGCACUUGCUUUUAUUUUUCCAGAUCUUACUGUUCAGUACACUUUCAUUGAUCGUGCUUAUACAUUGGCUUUGUGGCUUUACUGUGAAAUACGUUCUAACUAAUGUGCAGGUUUAUGUGAAGAGUAUUUUUUUCCCACAUUCACCAUCUCCUUGUCUCAAAUUCCCUUACAACAUCAUCAUGAUGCAUGUUAUAAGAAUUCUGGCUCUACGUUCACUUUGAUUCUGCAAGUAAUUCUCUAUUAGAACUUAAGUACUCUUUGAUGGAAUUAAACUUAAUGAUACUUUAUCUUUUUCUGUAAUUGUCAUUAUCUCAGAGAGCUAAAAGAUGCAUGUACAAUUGUUGAGGAUGUUCACAAUUUCGUAUAUUUGUAGUCUAAAAUCAAUAUUAGUACCAGAGCGGAAAGACAUUACUUUCUCA